This 450-nucleotide ribosomal RNA is filed under the name uncultured bacterium. Its description in RNAcentral is "partial 16S ribosomal RNA". It matches the Rfam family "Bacterial small subunit ribosomal RNA", at positions 354 to 796 of the family's 1533-position model. The record is from RNAcentral.
GUGGGGAAUCUUCCGCAAUGGACGAAAGUCUGACGGAGCAACGCCGCGUGAACGAUGACGGCCUUCGGGUUGUAAAGUUCUGUUAUACGGGACGAAUGGUACGACGGCCAAUACCCGUCGUAAGUGACGGUACCGUAAGAGAAAGCCACGGCUAACUACGUGCCAGCAGCCGCGGUAAUACGUAGGUGGCAAGCGUUGUCCGGAAUUAUUGGGCGUAAAGGGCGCGCAGGCGGCGUCGUAAGUCGGUCUUAAAAGUGCGGGGCUUAACCCCGUGAGGGGACCGAAACUGCGAUGCUAGAGUAUCGGAGAGGAAAGCGGAAUUCCUAGUGUAGCGGUGAAAUGCGUAGAUAUUAGGAGGAACACCAGUGGCGAAAGCGGCUUUCUGGACGACAACUGACGCUGAGGCGCGAAAGCCAGGGGAGCAAACGGGAUUAGAAACCCCGGUAGUCC